UCUGUUUGAUAAUGACAUGUUCAUUAUUUCGACCAAAAAAGUACGUGACUCUGUUACGAUAUGGAUAUAUUUCUCUUCUUUUUACAUAUCAGAAAAUUUUACUAACAUAAGGACAAAACUUAGGGGGGAGAUACUACUCCUCUUGUAACCUCUACCUAUUAUUAGUUAGCAAAGUAAAAAUUUAGAAGAAACAGGCAACUAUCAUGAUGUUAGUUACAAUUUGUUAUCAAUAAUAGAAAAGCCAUGUACUAUACAAUCAAGGGAACCAAAUCCUCUAAGAGAACCCCACCAAAUUAAUGAGUUUGUUUAUGGUAGCUUGACCAUUCUUGUACUAGUCUAUCAAUGACCAUAUAAUGGGAUAAACUUGGCAUGCUAAAAGGGAUUUCUCAUAAUUGAAAGUAUGAUUUUCCAUAAAGUUCGGUUGAAUAGGUGAAAGUAGUUUUUAGGAUUAGAAAAAAUGUUUUAGUCUUUUCUAGUGAAGAUGCUUUCAAGAAAAUAUUUAUACAAGCGAUGUUGAAAGGAGAGGAUAAUCAAACUCAGGACGUCCUAGUAAAACUUUUUUUCUAACAAAAUAGUUGAUGAGCAAAACGCUUCAUAUAGUAAUUAAGUGUCUAAUUAUAGGAUCAAGCCAGGUUAUUACGUCAGUAACUAAUUAAGGUCUAAUCCAGGACAAUGUGACUUUUUGAAGACGCAGCUUAGCAUUUUGUUGCAACUUUUCCUAAGGAGUGGUUCACACUCUUCUCCAACUAUUUCUUGCCAUUAUGCUUAGUUUGCCUUAAAGCAACUUAUAGCUAACCAACUCAUCCCUCUAGAAUAUUCUAGUUUCAGAAAUAAGUUGGAGUGUGCAUCCCCAACGGUUACUUAUAAGAAAAGUUAUCUUCUAUAUUCGACAGUUUGAUGUGUUGUGUUGUUUGAUUGUGAAAAACCCAUAAAGAUAAGAUCCAAAGGGUGUGAAGUGAAUCAAAGGAUGAGACUAGACUGUUGACUCUUGAGGCCUCCCCUGUGUGUUCUGUUCUGUUCUGUGAUGUCGUGGUUGUGGGUAUGCUCUGUUUCCCAACGCACAACAAAAGACAAAAACAAAUAAAGCAAAAAACCCGAAAGUAGGAAGGCGCACAAAUGGGUUAUAUUUUUAUAUAGAAAAAUUAGUUGCAUAAUCUUAUUAUUUUUAGCAUAUAAUGAGGUGAAAUGAAUUUGUUAUUGAAACAUAGUGGCAAUGUUAUUUGCCAGAUGUAUUGGUAUCAAUAAAUUAGUAAACAAGUUGGUGCCUGUAACGUUAUUAUAUAUUCAUUUGAAAACGUUAAAGCACUUUCCGUAAUUUAAUGAAAUUGAUGUGUUUUUGGUGAAAACACAGCAAUAUAAACCAGAAUUUGCUCCAAACAAAAACCAAGAGAGGCCAAAAACAAACACACCCAUAAUUAAGGUAAAGGAGGAGGUGGACAUGUAUUAUUUGUACACCAUUAAUUCAAUUAUUC
This 1472-nucleotide long non-coding RNA is filed under the name Prunus persica (peach). RNAcentral's name for it is "long non-coding RNA (PPER_LNC007331)". The record is from RNAcentral. Lineage: Eukaryota; Viridiplantae; Streptophyta; Magnoliopsida; Rosales; Rosaceae.